GAUGAACGCUGGCGGCGUGCCUAAUACAUGCAAGUCGAACGAGGUGCUUUUGUAGCAAUACGAGAGUAUCCUAGUGGCGAACGGGUGAGUAACGCGUGGAUGACCUGCCCCAAAGUGUGGGAUAACAGUCCGAAAGGAUUGCUAAUACCUCAUGUGGUUAUCGGUUUUAGAAAGCGAUAACUAAAGCAGCAAUGCGCUUUGGGAGGGAUCUGCGUCCCAUCAGCUAGUUGGUGAGGUAACGGCUCACCAAGGCGACGACGGGUAGGGGACCUGAGAGGGUGGCCCCCCCANAAUGGGAACUGAAACACGGUCCAUACACCCUACGGGUGGCAGCAGUAGGGAAUAUUGCUCAAAUGGGGCGAAAAGCCUGAAGC
Molecule: ribosomal RNA, 374 nt
Filed under: uncultured bacterium
Lineage: Bacteria
Description: bacterial SSU rRNA
Rfam family: Bacterial small subunit ribosomal RNA
Source: RNAcentral